UAAGGAAUAUUGGUCAAUGGACGCAAGUCUGAACCAGCCAUGCCGCGUGAAGGAUGAAGGUCCUCUGGAUUGUAAACUUCUUUUAUCUGGGACGAAAACGGGAUUUUUAUCUCAAUUGACGGUACCAGAGGAAUAAGCACCGGCUAACUCCGUGCCAGCAGCCGCGGUAAUACGGAGGGUGCAAGCGUUAUCCGGAUUCACUGGGUUUAAAGGGUGCGUAGGUGGGCAGAUAAGUCAGUGGUGAAAUCUUCCGGCUUAACCGGAAAAUUGCCGUUGAUACUAUUUGUCUUGAAUAUUGUGGAGGUAAGCGGAAUAUGUCAUGUAGCGGUGAAAUGCUUAGAUAUGACAUAGAACACCAAUUGCGAAGGCAGCUUACUAUAUAAUUAUUGACACUGAGGCACGAAAGCGUGGGUAGCGAACA
RNAcentral lists this ribosomal RNA (421 nucleotides) under uncultured bacterium. Its description in RNAcentral is "bacterial SSU rRNA". It matches the Rfam family "Bacterial small subunit ribosomal RNA", at positions 355 to 774 of the family's 1533-position model. The record is from RNAcentral.